RNAcentral lists this non-coding RNA (26 nucleotides) under Rattus norvegicus (Norway rat). The record is from RNAcentral. Lineage: Eukaryota; Metazoa; Chordata; Mammalia; Rodentia; Muridae.
AGGAUCUUGGUAAUGUAGUUAGGUCC